UCUAAAUUUAAAAACAAAGGU
Molecule: non-coding RNA, 21 nt
Filed under: Caenorhabditis elegans
Lineage: Eukaryota; Metazoa; Nematoda; Chromadorea; Rhabditida; Rhabditidae
Source: RNAcentral